RNAcentral lists this ribosomal RNA (503 nucleotides) under uncultured bacterium. Its description in RNAcentral is "bacterial SSU rRNA". It matches the Rfam family "Bacterial small subunit ribosomal RNA", at positions 8 to 507 of the family's 1533-position model. The record is from RNAcentral.
AGAGUUUGAUCAUGGCUCAGAUUGAACGCUGGCGGCAUGCCUUACACAUGCAAGUCGAACGGCAGCACGGGGGCAACCCUGGUGGCGAGUGGCGAACGGGUGAGUAAUAUAUCGGAACGUACCCUGGAGUGGGGGGAUAACGUAGCGAAAGUUACGCUAAUACCGCAUACGAUCUAAGGAUGAAAGUGGGGGAUCGCAAGACCUCAUGCUCCUGGAGCGGCCGAUAUCUGAUUAGCUAGUUGGUGGGUAAAGGCCUACCAAGGCAUCGAUCAGUAGCUGGUCUGAGAGGACGACCAGCCACACUGGGACUGAGACACGGCCCAGACUCCUACGGGAGGCAGCAGUGGGGAAUUUUGGACAAUGGGGCAACCCUGAUCCAGCAAUGCCGCGUGAGUGAAGAAGGCCUUCGGGUUGUAAAGCUCUUUUGUCAGGGAAGAAACGGUUGGGGCUAAUAUCCUCGGCUAAUGACGGUACCUGAAGAAUAAGCACCGGCUAACUACGUG